This 80-nucleotide non-coding RNA is filed under the name Aplanochytrium stocchinoi. Lineage: Eukaryota; Bigyra; Thraustochytrida; Thraustochytriidae. The record is from RNAcentral.
ACGAAACGAAGGGACAAAAGAAAUCAAAAAGGACAAAACAAAACAGUGAAAAAAACGUCUUGAAUUUGUUUGCUCUUUCA